This 259-nucleotide long non-coding RNA is filed under the name Mytilus galloprovincialis (Mediterranean mussel). The record is from RNAcentral. Lineage: Eukaryota; Metazoa; Mollusca; Bivalvia; Mytilida; Mytilidae.
CUCCGAACGUUAAACAAAUAUUAUAAUCACAGUAGUCUUAGAUAAUCACUCUGUCCUAUUCCGAUUGACCAAUUCAUCUCUCUCUCUCGAUUUUGUUUGUGUGAAAACGACGUGGAUGCACGUGCUGUCGUGUCUCCGGGUAGCUACGCCCCUGCAGUAAUUUGUAGUUUCAGUUUUGGCCGUGUUAUAGUCCUCCAGAUUCUUGUUGGUAGUUUCCUUUCGACUUUCAUUGCCAACUUCUUCUUCUUCUUCUUCUUUA